This 483-nucleotide ribosomal RNA is filed under the name uncultured bacterium. Its description in RNAcentral is "bacterial SSU rRNA". It matches the Rfam family "Bacterial small subunit ribosomal RNA", at positions 30 to 507 of the family's 1533-position model. The record is from RNAcentral.
UUGAACGCUGGCGGCAUGCUUUACACAUGCAAGUCAAACGGUAACAGGGACUUCGGUCUGCUGACGAGUGGCGAACGGGUGAGUAACAUAUCGGAACGUAUCCAGAAGAGGGGGAUAACGCAUCGAAAGAUGUGCUAAUACCGCAUAUUCUCUGAGGAGGAAAGCAGGGGAUCGCAAGACCUUGCGCUUUUGGAGCGGCUGAUGUCUGAUUAGCUAGUUGGUGGGGUAAAGGCCUACCAAGGCGACGAUCAGUAGUUGGUCUGAGAGGACGACCAGCCACACUGGGACUGAGACACGGCCCAGACUCCUACGGGAGGCAGCAGUGGGGAAUUUUGGACAAUGGGCGCAAGCCUGAUCCAGCAAUGCCGCGUGAGUGAAGAAGGCCUUCGGGUUGUAAAGCUCUUUCAGUCGAGAAGAAAAGGCUGUGGUAAAUAAUCACAGUUCAUGACGGUAUCGACAGAAGAAGCACCGGCUAACUACGUG